GGGAAUCCCGAAACGUGACGAGCUCGCGGAUAUUUCACAAAGGCAUUAUUGGGAGAGCGGCGCUGGCACGUGCACUGCCUGUAGAGCGCAAGCACAGAAGGAGAAAGAGGCAGCUAGUAAAGCUUUCCCCGGCACAGGCCCCUUAAGACAAGACUCUUUCUGUUGAGCAUUUCCAUGGAAACCAAGCAACUAACUUGAGGAGGAACAUAAAACCUAGCUUUUUUGGAGAACGGAGGAACACCUGCCACCUCUGCAAAUGGAGGGGGACUGUAAUGACACAAACAGUGACUGAAAUUUUCUGCCUCUGCUUCCCCAAGCAUUUCUACCACAGACCCGUGACGAGGGGCCUUUAAGGGUCAGCACAUUGCUGGCUGUGAGUAAAGA
Carassius carassius (crucian carp) is the source of this 384-nucleotide long non-coding RNA. RefSeq lists it as uncharacterized. The record is from RefSeq and is a predicted model, not a curated record. NCBI's taxonomy places the organism in Eukaryota, Metazoa, Chordata, Actinopteri, Cypriniformes, Cyprinidae. The transcript has 3 exons.